CUACGGGCGGCUGCAGUGGGGAAUAUUGCACAAUGGACGAAAGUCUGAUGCAGCAACGCCGCGUGGAGGAUGACACAUUUCGGUGCGUAAACUCCUUUUAUAUAGGAAGAUAAUGACGGUACUAUAUGAAUAAGCGCCGGCUAACUCCGUGCCAGCAGCCGCGGUAAUACGGAGGGCGCAAGCGUUACUCGGAAUCACUGGGCGUAAAGAGCGUGUAGGCGGAUAGAUAAGUCAGGAGUGAAAUCCUAUGGCUCAACCAUAGAACUGCUCUUGAAACUGUCUAUCUAGAAUAUGGGAGAGGUAGAUGUAAUUUCUGGUGUAGGGGUAAAAUCCGUAGAGAUCAGAAGGAAUACCGAUUGCGAAGGCGAUCUACUGGAACAUUAUUGACGCUGAGACGCGAAAGCGUGGGGAGCCAACAGGCUUAGAUACCCGAGUAGUC
Molecule: ribosomal RNA, 439 nt
Filed under: uncultured bacterium
Lineage: Bacteria
Description: partial 16S ribosomal RNA
Rfam family: Bacterial small subunit ribosomal RNA
Source: RNAcentral